GUAAAUGCACAAGCAGGUUACAGAAGACAUGCGCAAGUCUGGUAAAGCACAUAGGACUUUCAUGCAACCGGGGCUUGCCUUCAAGCAAGGAGGGCGGGAACUGCUCGGCUUCGGGGGCGACUUCGGCUUCCGCGGGCAGGAACUCGGCUACAGCUUCUUCUUCUGGCGCCGGGUGGAGCUCGUAGAAACCGUCGGCGAGGUGCAGCUCUACACGAAUGCAAUGCAAGGGUUAGCUUAGACGGUUAUUCCAACAGCAGCACUGGCUCGCCUGAGCCCAGAAACUUGCGACAAAGAGCAGGAGGUUAUGGUGGUUCGAGAGAGCUGAUGAUGAUCAACAGGUAAGGGUAGGAAGGGAAACUAGUGGUCUGAUCCUCGAACUAGAGGAUGUGAUAACUGGGAUCCUUAGACGCAAGCGCUGAAGGGUUCCCAGGUUUUACACAUACACCCUCGAGUUGAAGAAAAAGAUCACAGCCAAGCCCUCGGGCGAGGCGGAUAAGGGUCGGCGGAACAGACAGGGUCGGGCGAGACGGAACUGGGGUCGGGCGGAUAGGAGGGGUCGGGCGAGGCGGACUAGGGUCGGCAACUCACCUUCUUCCUGAAAGGAAAACUUGGGGUCGGGAAGAAGCGAACUUGGGCGGAGGGACUAAAGCUUCGAGUAAGGGCUAGGACUGGCAAUGCUCCGGCGGCGGCGCUGCUUCUUGCGGAUCACAAGAGAGCUCUUACGCAGCACGGAGGAGCAAGCUGCUGGGUGACUUGGAGGAAC
This 763-nucleotide long non-coding RNA is filed under the name Setaria viridis. RNAcentral's name for it is "long non-coding RNA (SVIR_LNC001334)". Lineage: Eukaryota; Viridiplantae; Streptophyta; Magnoliopsida; Poales; Poaceae. The record is from RNAcentral.